AAUUAAAAGUAGCCCAUAGGCUUAGUAGCCCAGUGAAUGAUUCGAACUAAAAAUAAUAUAGCCCAUAGGCGUAAUGGUCGAGUGAGUGCUUGCUAAAACUCGAAUUAAAAGUAGCAUGUAGGCUUAGUAGUCGAGUGAAUGAUUCGAACUCGAAAUAAUGUAGCCCGUAGGCGUAAUGGUCGAGUGAGUGCUUGCUAAAACUCGAAUUAAAAAUAGCCUGCAGGCUUAGUAGUUGAGUGAAUGAUUCGAACUCGAAAUAAUGUAGCCCGUAUGCGUAAUGGCGAGUGAGUGCUUGCUAGAAAUCGAAUUAAAAGUAGCCUGUAUGCUUAGUAGUCGAGUGAAUGAUUCGAACUCGAAAUAAUAAGCCCAUAGGCGUAAUGGUCGAGUGAGUGCUUGCUUGAACUCGAAUUAAAAGUAGCCUCUAGGCUUAGUAGUCGAGUGAAUGAUUCGAACUCGAAAUAAUGUAGCCCGUUGGCAUAAUGGUCGAAUGAGUGCUUGCUCGAACUCGAAUUAAAAGUAGCCCGUAGGCUUAGUAGUCGAGUGAAUGAUUUGAACUAGAAAUAAUGUAGCCCGUAGGCGUAAUGGCGAGUGAGUGCUUGCUAGAACUCAAACUAAAUGUAGCCCGUAGGCUUAGUAGUUGAUUGAAUGAUUCGAACACGAAAUAAUGUAGCCCGUAGGCGUAAUGGCGAGUGAGUGCUUGCUAGAACUCGAAUUAAAAGUAGCCCGUAGGCUUAGUAGUCGAGUGAAUGAUUAGAACUAAAAAUAAUAUAGCCCAUAGGCGUAAUGGUCGAGUGAGUGCUUGCUAAAACUCGAAUUAAAAGUAGCAUGUAGGCUUAGUAGUCGAGUGAAUGAUUCGAACUCAAAAUAAUGUAGCCCAUAUGCGUAAUG
RNAcentral lists this long non-coding RNA (888 nucleotides) under Nicotiana tabacum (common tobacco). RNAcentral describes it as "long non-coding RNA (NTAB_LNC010524)". The record is from RNAcentral. Lineage: Eukaryota; Viridiplantae; Streptophyta; Magnoliopsida; Solanales; Solanaceae.